RNAcentral lists this ribosomal RNA (450 nucleotides) under uncultured prokaryote. RNAcentral describes it as "bacterial SSU rRNA". It matches the Rfam family "Bacterial small subunit ribosomal RNA", at positions 355 to 796 of the family's 1533-position model. The record is from RNAcentral.
UGGGGAAUAUUGCGCAAUGGGCGAAAGCCUGACGCAGCGACGCCGUGUGAGGGAAGAAGGCCUUCGGGUCGUAAACCUCUGUCAGGAGGGAAGAACCCCGUGGAUGCGAAGAGUGUCUACGGCUGACGGUACCUCCAGAGGAAGCACCGGCUAACUCCGUGCCAGCAGCCGCGGUAAUACGGAGGGUGCAAGCGUUAAUCGGAAUCACUGGGCGUAAAGCGUACGUAGGCGGUCUUGUAGGUCAGGCGUGAAAGCCCUCGGCUCAACCGGGGAAUUGCGCUUGAAACCACAAGACUUGAGUACAGGAGAGGAUGGCAGAAUUCCGGGUGUAGGGGUGAAAUCCGUAGAUAUCCGGAGGAAUACCAGUGGCGAAGGCGGCCAUCUGGACUGUCACUGACGCUGAGGUACGAAAGCGUGGGGAGCAAACAGGAUUAGAUACCCGUGUAGUCC